This 493-nucleotide ribosomal RNA is filed under the name uncultured bacterium. RNAcentral's name for it is "partial 16S ribosomal RNA". It matches the Rfam family "Bacterial small subunit ribosomal RNA", at positions 29 to 523 of the family's 1533-position model. The record is from RNAcentral.
AUUGAACGCUGGCGGCAUGCUUUACACAUGCAAGUCGAACGGUAACAGGUUAAGCUGACGAGUGGCGAACGGGUGAGUAAUGCAUCGGAACGUGCCCAGUCGUGGGGGACAACGCAGCGAAAGCUGCGCUAAUACCGCAUACGAUCUGAGGAUGAAAGCGGGGGACCGUAAGGCCUCGCGCGAUCGGAGCGGCCGAUGUCAGAUUAGGUAGUUGGUGGGGUAAAGGCUCACCAAGCCGACGAUCUGUAGCUGGUCUGAGAGGACGACCAGCCACACUGGGACUGAGACACGGCCCAGACUCCUACGGGAGGCAGCAGUGGGGAAUUUUGGACAAUGGGCGCAAGCCUGAUCCAGCAAUGCCGCGUGCAGGAAGAAGGCCUUCGGGUUGUAAACUGCUUUUGUACGGAGCGAAAAGGCUCUCUCUAAUACAGGGGGCUCAUGACGGUACCGUAAGAAUAAGCACCGGCUAACUACGUGCCAGCCGCCGCGGUAA